UACGAAGGGGGCUAGCGUUGUUCGGAAUUACUGGGCGUAAAGCGCGCGCAGGCGGUCUUCCAAGUCAGUGGUGAAAGCCCGGAGCUCAACUCCGGAACUGCCAUUGAAACUGUAAGACUUGAGGACGAGAGAGGUGAGUGGAAUUCCCAGUGUAGAGGUGAAAUUCGUAGAUAUUGGGAAGAACACCGGUGGCGAAGGCGGCUCACUGGCUCGUAUCUGACGCUCAGGCGCGACAGCGUGGGGAUCAAACGGG
This 253-nucleotide ribosomal RNA is filed under the name uncultured bacterium. RNAcentral describes it as "partial 16S ribosomal RNA". It matches the Rfam family "Bacterial small subunit ribosomal RNA", at positions 524 to 776 of the family's 1533-position model. The record is from RNAcentral.